CUGGAAUGCAUUUCAAUAAACAGAGUGGAGGAUUGCUCGGUCAGACUUCCAACUAGCCAGGUGCUGCCAUCUUGGAUUACGAUCUUGUGAGUGGUGCGGUUCUUCAGACUUUCCGAGCUGGAAUCCCGACAUGAGGGAGUAUUCCGAUUGAAACUUCUGACUUGGAUCUUGGAAAUCCCGACCUCCAAGUACAAGUGGAACGAGGCAACAGGCAUUGGAGUUUUCUGUCUAUACGUAUGAUGUCAGAUCUUUUCGCUACUGAGGGUGUAAUAUAUCUGACAAAAUGUAAUAUAAAAAAAAUCUUGAGUUAAUCUUUCUAGUAUUAAGGAAUGGUCACAAGAAGAGAGAAUCAGUGAUUGUCCAUAAAGGGCAAACCUAAAACAUGCAACCUUAUCC
This is a long non-coding RNA of Esox lucius (northern pike), 396 nucleotides long. The record is from Ensembl. Lineage: Eukaryota; Metazoa; Chordata; Actinopteri; Esociformes; Esocidae.